Molecule: long non-coding RNA, 1038 nt
Filed under: Pandoravirus dulcis
Description: putative ncRNA
Source: RNAcentral
AGCGAUUCGGGGCGCGCGUGGUCAACGGCCCAGCGAAAGAUGGCGUCGCAGCGGGUAUCGCGCAGCGGCAUGCGAACCAGGUCGCUCCAGUCAUUGCCAAAUUCUUUUGCGAUGCAAUGAACCAUCAGGGCGUCGUAGAUCUCUUCCGGUCCGGGCUCGGCGGCGCCGGUGCCCGCCAGGGGCCACGGGUCUGGCCGCGUGCCCAAGGAGACCUCGAAUGCUUGGUCAAAGGCAGAGACCGGCGUGUCGUCGGGCUUGAACGACCACGAGUAGAGCGCGGCGGGCCGUGCGACGUUGGGCCAUCGCGAAAGGAUGGCGACGGCGCAGUCGCGUCUCCCGUGCUCCAGCGCCGCGUCAAAGGCAUUGGAAAUGGCGUCUGGAUCAGCGCACCGGGCAAGAAUCCACUCGACAACGCGGGUCGUCCCCGACCCUGCGGCCUCGGCCAGAGGGCGCUCCAAAAUCGCGGGGUCGUCCCCAUAAUAGCAUCGCUCGUAGACCAGUUGCAUGAUGGCAACGUCCCCGGUGCGCGCCGCCUGACGCAUGGGACGGUGGUGCCAAACACGCCCACAUGAAUGGCCAUUGUUGAGGCCCUUGUCGUCGCUGUCCUCCUCUCCCUCACCGCCGUUGUUGCUGUCGUCUUGGUCUGCUUGAUCGUCAUCGUCACCGUCGGCACGGACGCCCUUGGAACAGUCGCCGCCUUCAGGACAGAUGCCGCCCUGGACCCCCUCGCGGUGGUCGAUCUCGUGCGCGCGAUCGAGAACGAGGCGCACGGCGCCGAUGCACUUGCUCGAUAUGGCGUUGCCAAGGACCUCGUUGAGUAUAAUGGCGUCGCGCUCGUCCAGGAGCCAACGCAUGAGGUCAACGCGGCCGCCCUUGGCUGCCGCACACAAGGCCUCGGUAGGACAGCCGCCGCCGAUCGACUCGUCGAUGAUCCACUCGACGAGCGUGCGGUGGCCGCCCUCGGCCGCGGCGCGCAGGCAGUGGAUGUCGAUGCGCCACGGGUCGACGCCGUGCCAAUAGCGCAGGCCGUCGAGCGAC